AAUUGAUCACUGAGGGCAAUGCUAGCCUCAGCAUUGAAGAUGGAGGAAUGGUACUACUGUUAAAGUCACAGGAGACGACCUGGUCCUCCGUGAAGCCUAGGAUGCCCUUGAGUGGGCCCUCUGAUGCCUGCUUCUCCACCUUGCUGACGUCAUCAUAUUCG
This 161-nucleotide long non-coding RNA is filed under the name Lynx pardinus (Iberian lynx). Lineage: Eukaryota; Metazoa; Chordata; Mammalia; Carnivora; Felidae. The record is from RNAcentral.